Molecule: long non-coding RNA, 490 nt
Filed under: Panax ginseng (ginseng)
Lineage: Eukaryota; Viridiplantae; Streptophyta; Magnoliopsida; Apiales; Araliaceae
Description: long non-coding RNA (PGIN_LNC012885)
Source: RNAcentral
AAAUUAAAGGCCUUAUUAUGUAGGAGACACAUACAUUAUGUCGAACCACUUUUACCCCAACAAAAACAUCCUCAUGAGCAUUCAUUAAUUAUGAUAAAACACAAAAAUUAAAGGAUUGGCAAUUAAUAUUAUUGCUUUUUCAUAAUUAAUUCAUCAACCCUUUCCCAGAUCCCUCUAAAAAGUUAAAAAUAAAAAAUUAAGAGCAUCAUCAUUAUAUAUAAAAAAGAUAUAUGUUACUAAUCUUUCUUUAGGCAAAGGUACGUAAUACAUAAUAUAAAUUAAAGGAGAGACUGGAUUCAAUUCGAUUCCGUUAUCAUGAAACUCAUAAACAGUCUCAUUAAUUUCCCUACUAAUCCGAUAUUCCUAUAUAUCCGAUUAGCAAGACAAAUGAUGAGGGCUGGGGGAGAAAAAGAGCUAGAUAGCUUCAUUUAAUUAACUAUAUAUAUAUAUAUAUAUAUAUAUAUAUAUAUAUAUAUAUAUAUAUAUCUUU